This 329-nucleotide ribosomal RNA is filed under the name Salmonella enterica. Its description in RNAcentral is "bacterial SSU rRNA". It matches the Rfam family "Bacterial small subunit ribosomal RNA", at positions 1 to 326 of the family's 1533-position model. Lineage: Bacteria; Pseudomonadati; Pseudomonadota; Gammaproteobacteria; Enterobacterales; Enterobacteriaceae. RNAcentral also lists the same sequence under 1 other name. The record is from RNAcentral.
AAAUUGAAGAGUUUGAUCAUGGCUCAGAUUGAACGCUGGCGGCAGGCCUAACACAUGCAAGUCGAACGGUAACAGGAAGCAGCUUGCUGCUUCGCUGACGAGUGGCGGACGGGUGAGUAAUGUCUGGGAAACUGCCUGAUGGAGGGGGAUAACUACUGGAAACGGUGGCUAAUACCGCAUAACGUCGCAAGACCAAAGAGGGGGACCUUCGGGCCUCUUGCCAUCAGAUGUGCCCAGAUGGGAUUAGCUUGUUGGUGAGGUAACGGCUCACCAAGGCGACGAUCCCUAGCUGGUCUGAGAGGAUGACCAGCCACACUGGAACUGAGACA